RNAcentral lists this ribosomal RNA (486 nucleotides) under uncultured bacterium. Its description in RNAcentral is "partial 16S ribosomal RNA". It matches the Rfam family "Bacterial small subunit ribosomal RNA", at positions 30 to 507 of the family's 1533-position model. The record is from RNAcentral.
AUUGAACGCUGGCGGCAUGCCUUACACAUGCAAGUCGAACGGCAGCACGGGUGCUUGCACCUGGUGGCGAGUGGCGAACGGGGGAGGAAUAGAUCGGAACAGGUCCUGAAGUGGGGGAUAGGCCGGCGAAAGCCGGAUUAAUACCGCAUACGAUCUACGGAUGAAAGCGGGAGACCUUCGUGCCUCGCCCUAUCGCGUUGGCCGAUGGCUGAUUAGCUAGUUGGUGGGGUAAAGGCCUACCAAGGCGACGAUCAGUAGCUGGUCUGAGAGGACGACCAGCCACACUGGGACUGAGACACGGCCCAGACUCCUACGGGAGGCAGCAGUGGGGAAUUUUGGACAAUGGGCGAAAGCCUGAUCCAGCAAUGCCGCGUGUGUGAAGAAGGCCUUCGGGUUGUAAAGCACUUUUGUCCGGAAAGAAAUCCUUGGCUUUAAUACAGUCGGGGGAUGACGGUACCGGAAGAAUAAGCACCGGCUAACUACGUG